This 1156-nucleotide long non-coding RNA is filed under the name Ananas comosus (pineapple). RNAcentral's name for it is "long non-coding RNA (ACOM_LNC041712)". Lineage: Eukaryota; Viridiplantae; Streptophyta; Magnoliopsida; Poales; Bromeliaceae. The record is from RNAcentral.
AAAUUUAACUUCUCAGCAACAUUAAUUACUUAUAUUUUAUUAUUAUUAUUAUUAUUAUUAUUAGAGUAAUACUUCAAUACCCCAUAUAAAUCUCGACCAUUUAUUUUUCUUAAUAGAUGAUUUAGAUUUAAUAUGACUCUAGAGGUGACCUACUAUUGAAGCAUAGGUACCAUUCACCAGGUACUUAUUUAAAGGGUAUUUUGGUUUUUGUAAAAUAUUUUUGGUCUACAAAACCAGUUUUAUUCAACUAAGAAUACUGUGACUUUUCAAAUGCCUACAACAAUAGUUGGAUUUCAAAUUACAACCAAAUUGUAAUAUUAAAUUCAAAACAACAUUUAAAACUUAAUUAUAAAUCAAAUUCAAUUUUUUAAAUAUAAAACACAAAUUUAAAAUAAUACUUUCAGUUCCAAUUCAAAAUUUUAAUUUAAAUCAAAAAUUAAAAUUUGGCUUUAAGAUUAAAAGUUUAAUUUAGAUUCAAAUUUAAAAGUUUAAUAUAAUUUUCAAAAUUAAAAUUUUACAUUAUAAUACCAACUUCAAAAAUUAAAUUUAAAUUUAAUAUUUUUUGUGCUGAAUACUUAAAAAAUUAGGUAUUAUCUAAUUUAGUAAGUUACCAAAGUAAAUAUGAUAUUUAAUAUUUAUAGGAUGAUGACAAAUUUAGUAGAUAUUACUAUUUUUUUUUCUAAUAUUGUUAUAUUAACAAUUCAAAUCGGUAACCUAUGCAACAGGUUACUUCAUGUAAAAUCCAAUUAUACCCUUUACUAAUUAAGAAUUAGAUUUUAAUAUUUAUGGUGUAUUGAAGCAUUUCUCUUAUUAUUAUUAUUAUUAUUAAAGUACGUCUUGUGUCAUUUUGAAAGCACGAAGGUUUUCAUACUUUCAAAUUAUUCUCGAUGAUAGAACAUUCGAUUCAACGAUUAUUUAUGUUAUGCAUUAUUCUCGACAAUGGAAUAUCCAAUUCGACGAUUAUUUAUGUUAUGCAUGAUCUACGCUAUUAGAACUAUAUAUCUAGAAAUUUAAUUUCGUGAUUUUUCGAUAUCAUUUGCUAAGUGAUCAAAAGGACUGAAAAAUGACUAUUUUAACAUGUAGAACAAUCUAAAUUAUGUGAAAUUUUAUUUAAAAAAGUGUACUUACUAUCAAGAGCGAGAUCAAUAUUUUUUAU